GGAUCAUUCCCUCGGUCGCCAUGUUUCCCAGCGCAGUCACCGCACUGACAGGAGCCGGGAGAAGCCGGAGCUCGGAGCGCGCCGGCCGGGAGCGCGCUCGCCUUGGACAGCGCGAGAGCGGGAGCGCGAGGAGCUGCCGGCAGAUUCCCUGAAGGCUCCAAGGAACCUGGCUGGCGCUUAGACAGCUGCGUGGGUGGCGGAACGGCGGCUACUUGGACACUCCGUGGUGGGUCUUGAAGAAGUAUCCUGUCCAGCCUCUUCCCGAUUGCUUCCUCAGUCUGUUUCUCCCGAGCUUUAGGGCCCCAUUUCGAAGUCUGUGUGUACACGCGAUCUUUACAAGCUUAGGAGCCUGCAGCAGGGCAUCUUAGUGUAGAUAACUUGGCUUUUGCAACUGCGGCUCUCCUGUGGUUUUGUGGCUUCUUCGAUACAGUCUCUGCUUUUCAAUGAAAAGCACCAAUUUUAGUGAGAAGGUGCCCCGCCCACCUUAACCUUGUCACAAAAGUGGAAAUAGAACCCAGGCUAAAGCAUUUGAGUUUCAUUUCAGUAUUUGUUACCACUUUUUUUUCAAGUGUUUUGCAUAAAAUGUUAUUAAUCGCCUGUGGCUAUUUCAUAUCAGUUUCCUAGUUCCCUUCUUUUAGCCCUUUCAACUUAUAAAUUUAAAAAGUUAUAUAUGCACGUAUAUAUUUUUCCCUUGGGUUCUCAGCCAUGUUAAAACCUGGGAAACUUGAAAAGCAAAGUGUCCGAAAUGUAUAAUCAACCUUGGUGCACAAUUAAAAUCUCAGUUUGAUGGC
This is a long non-coding RNA of Phyllostomus discolor (pale spear-nosed bat), 791 nucleotides long. RefSeq lists it as uncharacterized. The record is from RefSeq and is a predicted model, not a curated record. NCBI's taxonomy places the organism in Eukaryota, Metazoa, Chordata, Mammalia, Chiroptera, Phyllostomidae. The transcript is spliced from 2 exons.